This 76-nucleotide transfer RNA is filed under the name Alphaproteobacteria bacterium. RNAcentral describes it as "tRNA-Glu". It matches the Rfam family "tRNA". Rfam says of the family: Transfer RNA (tRNA) molecules are approximately 80 nucleotides in length. Their secondary structure includes four short double-helical elements and three loops (D, anti-codon, and T loops). Further hydrogen bonds mediate the characteristic L-shaped molecular structure. tRNAs have two regions of fundamental functional importance: the anti-codon, which is responsible for specific mRNA codon recognition, and the 3' end, to which the tRNAs corresponding amino acid is attached (by aminoacyl-tRNA synthetases). tRNAs cope with the degeneracy of the genetic code in two manners: having more than one tRNA (with a specific anti-codon) for a particular amino acid; and 'wobble' base-pairing, i.e. permitting non-standard base-pairing at the 3rd anti-codon position. RNAcentral also lists the same sequence under 3 other names. Lineage: Bacteria; Pseudomonadati; Pseudomonadota; Alphaproteobacteria. The record is from RNAcentral.
GUCCCCUUCGUCUAGAGGCCUAGGACACCGCCCUCUCACGGCGGCAACACCGGUUCGAAUCCGGUAGGGGACGCCA